Molecule: long non-coding RNA, 434 nt
Organism: Neodiprion fabricii
Lineage: Eukaryota; Metazoa; Arthropoda; Insecta; Hymenoptera; Diprionidae
Exons: 3
Source: RefSeq, a predicted model, not a curated record
AUUGUUACACUUUAAUUCAAAUAUGCGAUCUAUUACUAAUGUUUGCUACAUUCCGUUGACUGAAGAAUAUAAAGACUGUUGCCCUAAUGGGCUUUGAUGUGACAACCGAAAAUCGUCGUACGCUUGCGCCUCCUGAGAUGUUCCAACGGUAGAGUUGAGAACUUAUUGCGGAAACUCAGAGAGUUACCGAUUUUGACGUGAUGCUGGCUGCAUUCACCUUCCGAGUAACACAGUCUUCGCAAUGGUAUAACCCGAGGUGGGAAGCGGUGGUUGUUGGAGGUAGUUGGCGGUGGUAGGAGGUACACGGCGGUGGUCGAGAAUGAAAAGGAGGACAAGGAGGAGGAGGGGGGAGAAGGAUGAGGUGGACAAGAAGGAUGGAGGUAGUCGCAGGUGAUUGGAGGUGGUAAGGUAGUCUGGGAUGUUGGGAUAGUGUA